This 119-nucleotide ribosomal RNA is filed under the name Pteropus alecto (black flying fox). The record is from RNAcentral. RNAcentral also lists the same sequence under 1 other name. Lineage: Eukaryota; Metazoa; Chordata; Mammalia; Chiroptera; Pteropodidae.
GUCUACGGCCAUGCCACCCUGAACAUGCCCGAUCUCGUCUGAUCUUGGAAGCUAAACAAGGUCGGACUUGGUUAGUACUUGGAUGGGAGACCACCUAGGAAUACCAGGUGCUGUAGGUG